GCUGGGUGUGGUGGCGCAUGCCUGUAGUCCCAGCUACUCAGGAGGCUGAGGCAGGAGAAUCGCUUGAACCCAGGAGGCAGAGGUUGCAGUGAGCUGAGAUCCCGCCACUGCACUCCAGCCUGGGCGACAGAGCAAGACUCUGCCUCAA
This 148-nucleotide non-coding RNA is filed under the name Chlorocebus sabaeus (green monkey). The record is from Rfam by way of RNAcentral. Lineage: Eukaryota; Metazoa; Chordata; Mammalia; Primates; Cercopithecidae.